AGUGAACGUUGGCGGCGUGGAUUAGGCAUGCAAGUCGAGCGAGAACCGUAGCAAUACGGGGACAGCGGCGAAAGGGACAGUAAUGUGUAGGUACCUACCCCGAGGUCUGGGAUAGCUGCGGGAAACUGCAGGUAAUACCGGAUAAUGUCUUCGGACCAAAGGUGUGAUUCCACCUUGGGAGGGGCCUGCACCCUAUUAGCUUGUUGGCGGGGUAACGGCCCACCAAGGCGAAGAUGGGUAGCGGGUGUGAGAGCACGACCCGGCGUCAUUGGGACUGAGACACUGCCCAGACACCUACGGGUGGCUGCAGUCGAGGAUCUUCGGCAAUGGGCGCAAGCCUGACCGAGCGACGCCGCGUGCGGGAUGAAGGCCUUCGGGUUGUAAACCGCUGUCGUAGAGGAGGAAAUGCAGGGGGGUUCUCCCUUCUGUUUGACCUAUUCUAGGAGGGAGGACGGGCUAAGUUCGUGCCAGCAGCCGCGGUAA
Molecule: ribosomal RNA, 483 nt
Filed under: uncultured bacterium
Lineage: Bacteria
Description: partial 16S ribosomal RNA
Rfam family: Bacterial small subunit ribosomal RNA
Source: RNAcentral